AUUGAACGCUGGCGGCAGGCCUAACACAUGCAAGUCGAGCGGAUGAGAAGAGCUUGCUCUUCGAUUCAGCGGCGGACGGGUGAGUAAUGCCUAGGAAUCUGCCUGGUAGUGGGGGACAACGUUUCGAAAGGAACGCUAAUACCGCAUACGUCUACGGGAGAAAGCAGGGGACUUCGGGCCUUGCGCUAUCAGAUGAGCCUAGGUCGGAUUAGCUAGUUGGUGAGGUAAUGGCUCACCAAGGCUACGAUCCGUAACUGGUCUGAGAGGAUGAUCAGUCACACUGGAACUGAGACACGGUCCAGACUCUACGGGAGGCAGCAGUGGGGAAUAUUGGACAAUGGGCGAAAGCCUGAUCCAGCCAUGCCGCGUGUGUGAAGAAGGUCUUCGGAUUGUAAAGCACUUUAAGUUGGGAGGAAGGGCAGUAAGCUAAUACCUUGCUGUUUUGACGUUACCGACAGAAUAAGCACCGGCUAACUCUGUGC
This 482-nucleotide ribosomal RNA is filed under the name uncultured Gammaproteobacteria bacterium. RNAcentral's name for it is "bacterial SSU rRNA". It matches the Rfam family "Bacterial small subunit ribosomal RNA", at positions 30 to 508 of the family's 1533-position model. The record is from RNAcentral. Lineage: Bacteria; Pseudomonadati; Pseudomonadota; Gammaproteobacteria.